GACGUUCUCUGGCAGCGAGGAAUACUGCAGGAGCCGCAACUCCAGACUCCUUACUGAGCAGGACACGAAGACAGCGGCUGAUUGUAUCACAAAAGGUGAAGACUUCUGGGCGGCUCCUGUGAGGAGGAACACUAGUGAUUGUUUCAUCUAUAACACGGACCAUGGAUUUGUCCGGAUGCAUUGUCUCACUCGUCGCUGGUUCAUAUGUUUGGAAACCUAGAUUUCUG
Molecule: long non-coding RNA, 227 nt
Organism: Bufo gargarizans (Asiatic toad)
Lineage: Eukaryota; Metazoa; Chordata; Amphibia; Anura; Bufonidae
Exons: 3
Source: RefSeq, a predicted model, not a curated record